AGAUGGCCAUCUAACUGUCUAGCCUCCAUGAAGAACAGAUGUUUAAAACUGAAGUUUGUUCAGAAAUGUGCUUUAGUCAGUCAAACACAGGCUUUUAUCACCCUCCCAAGUUGAAGGAAUGAAAAGCAGAGAAAACAACUUUCUUUAUAAGUCCUUUCUGUAUUUUCACUUCUGAUUUUCCCUUAUUGGGGGUUAGGGGAGGCCGAAUUCCUUUCAUUAGAAGCACUUUGCUGCCUGUUCAUCUUUAUUUCUGAUCUCUUGGUGGGCCCUUACAUGAGGCACAGAUGGAGAAUUGUUGAGAAUUCCUAAUGGAAUACUAGGGUUACUUGACAAGUGCUUUGUUUCUUUUUAAUUCAGUUUCUAGUUUUGAAGGAUACCGUCCUUCCUCAUGGCCUUGGCCGCCUUAGCAGUGCCAGUCUGUUGUGUGUAUGUUUAUAUUUACAAGUACUUUGGA
Long non-coding RNA from Myotis brandtii (Brandt's bat), 454 nucleotides. RefSeq lists it as uncharacterized. The record is from RefSeq and is a predicted model, not a curated record. NCBI's taxonomy places the organism in Eukaryota, Metazoa, Chordata, Mammalia, Chiroptera, Vespertilionidae. The transcript is spliced from 3 exons.